RNAcentral lists this long non-coding RNA (395 nucleotides) under Vigna radiata. RNAcentral describes it as "long non-coding RNA (VRAD_LNC017739)". The record is from RNAcentral. Lineage: Eukaryota; Viridiplantae; Streptophyta; Magnoliopsida; Fabales; Fabaceae.
UGGUCUGAUUAUUGCCAUUCCUAGCAUCUCGGCCACUUGCUUUUCUAUCUUAUACUUUAGCAAGUAUUGGUACCGGUAGGACCUUACAUUGACUGGAUUCAUUCCCUCCUUAAUGAGAAUCUUGUGAUCCAAGUGUCUCUUAAGAGGAAGACUCGUAGACUUUUUGAAAAUCUCCUGGCCGAGGGUUAAUUGUGUUUCUCCGUUAUUGCCUUUUUCUAGUUAUGCUUGCCCUAAACUCGAUACCAAUGUUAUAGCUUCGAUUUCUGGAUCCUUUAACAACAUCUCUAAUGACAUUACUUUUCUUGUUAGUGUAAGAUCUCCUCUGGUAAGAAUUUCCUCAUUUUUAUGGCUAAAUUUCAUGGUUAAGUCUCCCCAAUUGAUCUUGACCUCCCCCA